UUCCCACAUGGCAAGAACAAAUGGAACAACAAGCCUAACAAGACCACUACCUUCAAGAAGAAGAAGAACAAGGCUUUGGAAAAGUGCUAUGCAUGUGGUAAGUUUGGACACUUCUCCAAGGAGUGCCCAGAUCGGGCAGACCGCAGGGCCAAGAAAGCAAAUGAGUCCAAGGAUGUCAACAUGGUGACCAUAAGCAACACUGGAGAUGGACCGUCCAGGACUUCUCCGUGCUGAUGGGGAACGGUUCACAUGCUUCUGUUAAUGGUGUUGGCACGGUAGAUCUGAAGUUUACUUCGGGGAAGAUCGUGCAGCUGAGGAACGUACAGCAUGUGCCCACUAUCAACAAGAAUCUGGUCAGCGGGUCAGUCCUAUGCAAGGACGGUUUUAAGGUAGUGUUAGAGUCCAAUAAAUUUGUCGUGUCGAAACAUGGACAAUUCGUUGGUAAAGGCUAUGAUUGCGGAGGCUUGUUCCGCUUUUCUCUUGCUGAAUUUUGUAAUAAGUCGGUGGACCA
This is a long non-coding RNA of Panicum virgatum (switchgrass), 511 nucleotides long. RefSeq lists it as uncharacterized. The record is from RefSeq and is a predicted model, not a curated record. Lineage: Eukaryota; Viridiplantae; Streptophyta; Magnoliopsida; Poales; Poaceae. The transcript is spliced from 2 exons.